AUGGACGCAAGUAGCGAAUUUAACUUGGUGCAAGCUGCAAGGGGAAGGAAAGUUGCACUUGGAGCAAAACUGGAUUCGCGAAAGAUUACCAAAAGGGAUUCUCCAAUUGAUCAGAAAUCCAGAGCCCAAUGGAAUCUAGAACUUGAAAAGGCUUUGGUGAAGAUACUUCUUCAGCACAAUACUCCUUAUCACCGAGGGCGGAAUGGUGAAAUUUGGAAUAUGAUAGUUGGAAUAUUCCAUGCUAGACAUAGUUAUGUCAAAUUCUCAAAGUCCCAAGUUCAAGAGAAGGAAAAGGAAUUGAAGAGAGACUAUAAAAUGCUAAAGGAGGCACGUAAACAAAGUGGAGUUGAUUGGGAUGAAAUUUGGUGCAUGAUACAAGCAGAUGAACGUCUUUGGGAUGAGCUGACGACUGUAAAUGCUUUCCUCCUAAUUUCAGUAUUGGACUAG
This 447-nucleotide ribosomal RNA is filed under the name Triticum aestivum (bread wheat). Its description in RNAcentral is "partial small subunit ribosomal RNA". Lineage: Eukaryota; Viridiplantae; Streptophyta; Magnoliopsida; Poales; Poaceae. The record is from RNAcentral.